RNAcentral lists this transfer RNA (64 nucleotides) under Spurilla braziliana. RNAcentral's name for it is "tRNA-Val". The record is from RNAcentral. Lineage: Eukaryota; Metazoa; Mollusca; Gastropoda; Nudibranchia; Aeolidiidae.
AAGGGUAGAGUAUGACAUUACAUUUCAGUUACAUUGAAAAGAUCCAUAAUAUAUUGGUACUCUU